AUGUCUGAAGCCAACAGCCCCAAAGCACCAUCCGUCUAUCCCUUGACACCCAAUUCCAGAGAUGCAUCUGACUCCAUGGUGACCUUGGGCUGCAUGGUCAAGGACUUCUUCCCAGAGAUGGUGGCAGUAUCCUGGCCCUCUGUCCCCCAGGCUGAUGUGCACACCUUCACACCCAUGCGGCAUUCGUCUGGCUACUACUCCCUUAUCAGCAUGGUCACCAUGCCAUCUAGCAGCUGGCCCAGCCAGGAUUAUGCCUGCAGUGUCACCCACACGCCCAGUGAGACCAAAGUGGACAAGAAGAUCGGUGAGCCUUGGGCAGGGGCACAAUGCAGAUGCCCAGCUCCUGAAAAUCUGGGAGGACCCUCCAUCUUCAUCUUCCCACCCAAGCCCAAGGACACCCUCAUGAUGACCCGAAACCCAGAGGUGACGUGUCUUGUGUUGGAUGUGGGCCAGGAUGACCCCGAAGUCCAGUUCAGUUGGUUUGUGGAUGGCACAGAGGUGCACACAGCCAAGACCGAGCCACAGGAGGAGCAGUUCAAUGGCACCUACCGCGUGACCAGCGUGCUCCCCAUCCUGCAUCAGGACUGGCUCUCGGGCAAGGAGUUCAAGUGCAUUGUCAACAAUGGGGCCCUUCCUGGCCCUGCUGUAAGGACCGUCUCCAAGGCCAAGGGACAGCCUCAGGCUCCUCAAGUGUACACCAUGGCCCCAGUCAGCGAUGAGCAGGACAUGCUCACACUCGUCUGCUUUGUGAAUGGAUUCUACCCCAAGGACAUCAAUGUGGAGUGGAAGAGCAAUGAGCAGCCUGUUCCCCAGGCCAACUACGUGAACACGCCUCCCCAGGCCAAUUCCGACGGGACCUUCUUCUUGUACAGUAAACUGAAAGUGUCCAAUAAGAUCAGGAAUCCAGGACUAGUUUACCACUGCACAGUGAUGCACGAGGCCCUGCACAACCACUACACCCAGAAGGUGGUCCCUUUGACCCAGGAGCUGCCCCCAGAUGAGAGUUGUGCAGAGGCCCAGGAGGGGGAGCUGGACGGGCUGUGGACCACCAUCUCCAUCUUCAUCACCCUCUUCCUGCUCAGCGUGUGUUACAGCGCCACCGUCACGCUCUUCAAGGUGAACUGGAUCUUCUCCUCCGGAGGGGAACUGAAACGCACCAUCGUGCCCAACUACAGAAACAUGAUCGGCCAGGCAGCCUAG
This is a non-coding RNA of Echinops telfairi (small Madagascar hedgehog), 1200 nucleotides long. Lineage: Eukaryota; Metazoa; Chordata; Mammalia; Afrosoricida; Tenrecidae. The record is from the annotation of a RefSeq genome assembly.